UGUGUGUGUGUGUGUGUGUUUAAUUCUUUUAAAGAAAAUCAACAAAAAAUAAUGAAUUAAUCAACCAACGGAAUACUUUGACAUCAAGAUUUAAUACAAAUAGGAGCAGUGAACGAUAUUCAAGAAAAACAUAUAUUGAGGCUUCAAAAUCAACUGUACCUAACACUAAUGGCACCUUUCCCAUGACAAUUCCUAGCUGUAUGUCAGAACCCUGAAGAAGGAAAUGAGGAGGGAAAUUGUAAAUAAUAGUACCUGAAUUUUAGCUCCUCUAUACAUGAUAACACCUGGUAUGCAAGUCAGGGUGGUAAAUUCAUAGGAAGCAAC
RNAcentral lists this unclassified non-coding RNA (324 nucleotides) under Hevea brasiliensis (rubber tree). Lineage: Eukaryota; Viridiplantae; Streptophyta; Magnoliopsida; Malpighiales; Euphorbiaceae. The record is from RNAcentral.